GUUCGGACCCUUCUCCAGGCAGCAGAGCCGGGGCAGGGGCGCCCCGGCCGCUGCGUCCGCGCUCAUCUCGCCCUGCGACGGGUCAGCGGCGCGACUUGGGGUUCCGAUGGGGACGGGACGGGACGGCCCAGCCCUUCUUCCCGUCCAGCGAACCGGGAGCGCAGCAGAGAAGCCCUGAGCCGCCGGACGGGCCAAGCAAGCAGGUGUCCCAGGAACCGUCGGCCGCCGCGAGCCGCGAGGAGCCGAGAGAGGACCACAGACCAAUCCCCGCCCCGCGCGGCGUCUGAGCGUCCCAGAGUCCGCCCCGGCUCCUUACCCCGGGGGCGGGGCCGCGCUGAGGAAAAAUGAUUAGGACUGUAAAGCCUUCUAGCUCCCUCUUGCCAAAGAGAGGCUGGUCACAGAGGCGGGAGACAGUCUGUUGAGCGGGGAGCUGACCAUCUGAGGACAGACACUGAGGAAGGAGGAUGGAAUGAUUUUGGCAGUGAAUGACAAUUCCUUCAACAAGACCCCCCCCCCCCACUCACUUCAAAGAAACAGUGGACAGGAUGUGCUUUCCAAAAUACUG
Molecule: long non-coding RNA, 565 nt
Organism: Homo sapiens (human)
Lineage: Eukaryota; Metazoa; Chordata; Mammalia; Primates; Hominidae
Gene: SLC9A3R1-AS1
Product: SLC9A3R1 antisense RNA 1
Source: Ensembl